This 551-nucleotide ribosomal RNA is filed under the name uncultured bacterium. RNAcentral describes it as "bacterial SSU rRNA". It matches the Rfam family "Bacterial small subunit ribosomal RNA", at positions 353 to 896 of the family's 1533-position model. The record is from RNAcentral.
AGUGGGGAAUAUUGGACAAUGGGGGAAACCCUGAUCCAGCCAUGCCGCGUGUGUGAAGAAGGCCUUAGGGUUGUAAAGCACUUUUAGUAGGGAGGAAGGCCCGGUAGUUAAUACCUGCCGGGAUUGACGUUACCUACAGAAAAAGCACCGGCUAAUUUCGUGCCAGCAGCCGCGGUAAUACGAAAGGUGCAAGCGUUAAUCGGAAUUACUGGGCGUAAAGCGCGCGUAGGCGGCUUGGUAAGUUGGAUGUGAAAGCCCCGGGCUCAACCUGGGAACUGCAUCCAAAACUGCCAGGCUAGAGUAUGGUAGAGGAUGGCGGAAUUUCCUGUGUAGCGGUGAAAUGCGUAGAUAUAGGAAGGAACAUCAGUGGCGAAGGCGGCCAUCUGGACCAAUACUGACGCUGAGGUGCGGAAGCGUGGGGAGCAAACAGGAUUAGAUACCCUGGUAGUCCACGCCGUAAACGAUGAGAACUAGCCGUUGGACAUCUUGCAUGUUUAGUGGCGCAGCUAACGCGAUAAGUUCUCCGCCUGGGGAGUACGGCCGCAAGGUUA